AUUGAACGCUGGCGGCAGGCUUAACACAUGCAAGUCGAGCGAGCGGCGGACGGGUGAGUAAUGUCUGGGAAACUGCCUGAUGGAGGGGGAUAACUACUGGAAACGGUAGCUAUUACCGCAUACCAUCAGAUGUGCCCAGAUGGGAUUAGCUAGUAGGUGGGGUAAUGGCACACCUAGGCGACGAUCCCUAGCUGGUCUGAGAGGAUGACCCGUCAGACGUGAACUGAGACACGGUCCCGACUCCAUCGGGAGGCAGCCUUGGGGAAUAUUGCACACUGGGCGCAAGCCUAAUGCAGCCAUGCCGCGUGUAUGAAGAAGGCCUUCGGGUUGUAAAGUACUUUCAGCGAGGAGGCGUUACUCGCAGAAGAAGCACCGGCUAACUCCGUGCCAGCAGCCGCGGUAAUUC
Molecule: ribosomal RNA, 406 nt
Filed under: uncultured bacterium
Lineage: Bacteria
Description: partial 16S ribosomal RNA
Rfam family: Bacterial small subunit ribosomal RNA
Source: RNAcentral